Molecule: unclassified non-coding RNA, 345 nt
Filed under: soil metagenome
Description: partial contains 5.8S ribosomal RNA, internal transcribed spacer 2, and large subunit ribosomal RNA
Rfam family: 5.8S ribosomal RNA (bases 1-120)
Source: RNAcentral
GAUGAAGAACGUAGCGAACUGCGAUAAGUAAUGUGAAUUGCAGAAUUCAGUGAAUCAUCGAGUCUUUGAACGCACAUUGCGCCCCCUGGCAUUCCGGGGGGCAUGCCUGUCCGAGCGUCAUUGCUGCCCUUCAAGCCCGGCUUGUGUGUUGGGUCGUCGUCCCCCCCGGGGGACGGGCCCGAAAGGCAGCGGCGGCACCGCGUCCGGUCCUCGAGCGUAUGGGGCUUCGUCACCCGCUCCGUAGGCCCGGCCGGCGCCCGCCGGCGACCCCCCUCAAUCUUUCCAGGUUGACCUCGGAUCAGGUAGGGAUACCCGCUGAACUUAAGCAUAUCAAUAAGCGGAGGA